This is an RNA transcript of Osmerus eperlanus (European smelt), 3199 nucleotides long. It is a transcript of the gene named family with sequence similarity 110 member B, with no coding region annotated. The transcript has 3 exons. The record is from RefSeq and is a predicted model, not a curated record. NCBI's taxonomy places the organism in Eukaryota, Metazoa, Chordata, Actinopteri, Osmeriformes, Osmeridae.
CUGGUGUUGUGGUCAGGACUGGCUGGUGUAGGCAGCAGACCUGAGGGAACCAUGACGACAUGGUCUGAGGGAACCAUGACGACGUGGUCUGAGGGAACCAUGACGACGUGGUCUCCUGUGUGACCUUCCAGCCCUGCCCUCGUCACUGUGUUUGUUUACAAGUGUUUGUUUAUUUGUUGACAGGCGUGGCCCCACUGACAGUCUGCAGCAUCUGGAGGAGAAGGGGACAUCAUCCAACUCAGAUUCAGCCAAUAGCUGAGUUGUAAAUCGGACAUAGGUGAGACAAGGCAGCUUCUUCCCACAAUCCUUCACUCCAGCCCUGGACCCGGUGAUCCGGAACACUGCCCUGCACACGCACUCCUCUCUCUCUCUUUCUCUCUCUCUCUCUCUCUCUCUCUUUCUCUCUCUCUCUCUCUCUCUCUCUUUCUCUCUGUCUCUCUCUCUCUGUCUCUCCUCUCGUUUCUCUCUCUCUCGUUUCUCUCUCUCACCCCCUGUCCUGUCUGAGUUCAGGAGUGGUGUGGUGAAGGUUCAGGAGGCUUUCCCUGCUGCCCAAUAAGAAAGCAGGAGUGAGACUCUCCGGCCAAUAGGACUUCAGCAGUGGGAGUCCCCAGCCAAUAGGACAACGGCAGCGGGAGUCCUCAGCCAAUAGGACGUCAGUGUUGAUGCUGAGUCAGCAUGAGGAGGCCAGGCUGCUGAACACCAGCUCCUCCCCCCUCCGCAGGGCUCCUCCCCCCUCCCCUCCCCCUGUCUUCAUGUGUCUACAGCCCCCCGGCUGUUCCACCCUCGGCUCGCCCCCCCUCCGCCGCAGCCACCACGGCGACCCCCCCCAGCCCAGACAUGCCCACCGAGACAGUGGCCCCCCUGCCAGAUAGCAAGCCCCCCAGCCCUGGCGCGGCCUUCGCCUCCGCCGUACCCCUCCGCAUCCUAAACAAGGGCCCGGACUACUUCCGGAGGCAGAUAGAGCCCAACCCCAAGAGGCUGAGCGCGGUGGAGCGUCUGGAGGCGGACAAGUCCAAGUACGUCAAGAGCCAGGAAGUCAUCAAUGCUAAGCAGGAGCCAAUCAAGCCUCAGCUCCUGGCCAAGCCUCCAGUGUGCCCCGCCCUCGCCAAGAGAGGGGCGGGAGGAGGAGGAGGAGGAGGAGGCGUGGCAUUGUUCAAGGCGUCCAACAACAACUCCAAGUCGGACACGUGCGCCACGACGACCAAGCGAGAGAACCUGAACCUGGAGAUCCUGAAGAACCUGCUGAACUCCUCGGGCUCCACCUCCGAGGGGCCGACCAAGAGCGCUACGCUGCGGCCGGUGGGCGGAGCUAGGAGCUGGGCCACGCACCGCUCCACCCACGACCUCACGGAGCCCUCCAGCCUCCGCUCCUUCGCCGAAUCCCUCAAAGUCCCGCCUCCCUCGGGUGGGGGAAGGUGGAGCCCCCAGGGGGCCAACCUCAACCUGAGCCGCCGUCUCCUGGAGGAGCGGGGGAGUCGCGGGGGAGGAGGGGGCGACCGCUCCCCCCUCCACGCCUCCCACUCCUCCUCCGACAUCCGGCGGCUGUGCAACGGCAAGCCCCUCCGGGCCGCUCGGUCCAGCUCCAGCUCGGCACCCCCUCUCCCCCCGAAGCCCAGCCCCAAGUCCCUCCCUCCCGCCCUGGGCAACCCGGCCUCAGCCUCGGCCUGCGACAACGCCACCCUCCAGCCCUGCGACAGCGAGCCCAGCGCUCCCCUCCCGGGCUCGGCCCCAGGCUUGGGAGGAGGCCCCGCGGAUCUGGAGCUGGAACUGGGCAGCUCCGUGGCCCGCCGGCCCUCGCUGCACCGCUCCAAGUCGGACCUGAGCGACCGCUACGCCCGGGCGGGGGCGGACGUGGAGCGCUUCUUCAACUACUGCGGUCUGGAUCCCGAGGAGCUGGAGAGCGUCGGCGUGGAAGGGUUCGCCCGCGCCAACUCCGACAUCAUCUCCCUCAACUUCCGUAGCGCCAGCAUGAUCAGCUCGGACUGCGACCAAUCGCGGCGCAGCAACGAGGAGCUGACGGACGAGGAGGAGGAAGAGGCCGGGGAGCGCGUGCCCUACGGGAUCUCGGCGGUGGAGAGGAACGCGCGUGUCAUCAAGUGGCUGUACAGCAUCAAGCAGGCUCGGGAGUCACAGAAGGUGUCCCACGUCUAGGCGAGCAGACGCAUUUGGACAGACGGACUCGCGGAAACGACCGGCGGACGGAUGACAGUGUUGCGAACUGGUUACCAGACCGCCCCCCCCCCCCUCCCCGUGGUGCAGUCUUCCAGGUCUUCGGAAAUCAGACUUUUAGAAGAUCUGUGAGGCUGGGCUCUCGGGGUGACCUCUGACUGUCUGGAGGUCAAAGGUUAGAAGUCGAGGGUUGUUAAGGACUCUAGAGGUCGAUUCCUCGAACUUCGGUGUUUGUUGUUCUCCAAACCUGCAUGACUCCUCCCCCUUCUCCUCGGCAGUCCCGCCCCCAGCCAGCACGGCCUCCUGAUCCAGCAGGUCUAGGAAAAACAAGAGCCUUUUUUUCAAGAUGGACGCCUUUUUCUCAGCGCCGUCUCUCUUAAUCUCUGUAUCUGGAUCCCUGAGUCCCCACAACACCUUUCUUUUUUACCUUGAAAUAUGCACUUGCCCUAUCCACUCUUUGCGGAUACCAAAAGCCCCAUUGUGGUAGGUGCAUGUGCACACCAUUCCCGGGGGAAGUGCAGAUCUCAGGGGAGGAGCGUUGGAGUGUUGGGAUGAGGGGAUCUCCUCUUUCAUUAUUUCUCUCUGUCGUCGUUGUCUUUUGCUUUCAUUUGUCUGACCAGCAGAACCCUGAUGCCAGCCAUACUUAGGUGUGUCCCUCUAGAUCAGGCACCCCUCCAGGUCUCGGUUCCUCCAGGUCUUGGUUCCUGUAGAUCUUGGUUCCUCCAGGACUUGGUUCCUCCAGGACUUGGUUUCUCCAGGUCUUGGUUCCUGUAGAUCUUGGUUCCUCCAGGUCUUGGUUCCUGUAGAUCUUGGUUCCUCCAGGUCUUGGUUCCUCCAGGUCUUGGUUCCUGUAGAUCUUGGUUCCUCCAGGUCUUGGUUCAUCUAGAUCUUGGUUCCUCCAGGUCUUGGUUCCUCCAGGUCUUGGUUCCUGUAGAUCUUGGUUCCUCCAGGUCUUGGUUCCUCCAGGUCUUGGUUCCUGUAGAUCUUGGUUCCUCCAGGUCUUGGUUCCUCUAGAUCAGGCACUCCUCUU